AACGAACGUUGGCGGCAUGCCUAACACAUGCAAGUCGAACGAAGGCUUCGGCCUUAGUGGCGCACGGGUGCGUAACGCGUGGGAAUCUGCCCUUAGGUUCGGAAUAACAGCUGGAAACGGCUGCUAAUACCGGAUGAUAUCGCGAGAUCAAAGAUUUAUCGCCUGAGGAUGAGCCCGCGUUGGAUUAGGUAGUUGGUGGGGUAAAGGCCUACCAAGCCGACGAUCCAUAGCUGGUCUGAGAGGAUGAUCAGCCACACUGGGACUGAGACACGGCCCAGACUCCUACGGGAGGCAGCAGUGGGGAAUAUUGGACAAUGGGCGAAAGCCUGAUCCAGCAAUGCCGCGUGAGUGAUGAAGGCCCUAGGGUUGUAAAGCUCUUUUACCCGGGAAGAUAAUGACUGUACCGGGAGAAUAAGCCCCGGCUAACUCCGUGCCAGCCGCCGCAGUAA
Molecule: ribosomal RNA, 449 nt
Filed under: uncultured bacterium
Lineage: Bacteria
Description: partial 16S ribosomal RNA
Rfam family: Bacterial small subunit ribosomal RNA
Source: RNAcentral